RNAcentral lists this ribosomal RNA (484 nucleotides) under uncultured bacterium. Its description in RNAcentral is "partial 16S ribosomal RNA". It matches the Rfam family "Bacterial small subunit ribosomal RNA", at positions 29 to 507 of the family's 1533-position model. The record is from RNAcentral.
AUUGAACGCUGGCGGCAUGCUUUACACAUGCAAGUCGAACGGCAGCGCGGGCUUCGGCCUGGCGGCGAGUGGCGAACGGGUGAGUAAUGCAUCGGAACGUGCCCAGUAGUGGGGGAUAGCCCGGCGAAAGCCGGAUUAAUACCGCAUACGACCUGAGGGUGAAAGCGGGGGACCGAAAGGCCUCGCGCUAUUGGAGCGGCCGAUGUCGGAUUAGCUAGUUGGUGGGGUAAAGGCUUACCAAGGCGACGAACCGUAGCUGGUCUGAGAGGACGACCAGCCACACUGGGACUGAGACACGGCCCAGACUCCUACGGGAGGCAGCAGUGGGGAAUUUUGGACAAUGGGGGCAACCCUGAUCCAGCCAUGCCGCGUGCGGGAAGAAGGCCUUCGGGUUGUAAACCGCUUUUGUUCGGGAAGAAAUCCUCUGGGCUAAUACCCCGGGGGGAUGACGGUACCGGAAGAAUAAGCACCGGCUAACUACGUG